This 80-nucleotide small nucleolar RNA is filed under the name Alternaria alternata. RNAcentral describes it as "A. fimigatus snoRNA Afu_298". It matches the Rfam family "A. fimigatus snoRNA Afu_298". Lineage: Eukaryota; Fungi; Ascomycota; Dothideomycetes; Pleosporales; Pleosporaceae. RNAcentral also lists the same sequence under 2 other names. The record is from Rfam by way of RNAcentral.
GCUAUGAUUAUUAUCGCUUUUUAACCCUGAUUCACUAUGAGGAUCAAAAACAACAACAACACUCUAAUUUUUUAAUGAGC